This 420-nucleotide unclassified non-coding RNA is filed under the name Microascus ennothomasiorum. RNAcentral describes it as "Microascus sp. 1. II-2018 sequence contains 28S rRNA gene". It matches the Rfam family "Eukaryotic large subunit ribosomal RNA", at positions 50 to 468 of the family's 3401-position model. The record is from RNAcentral. Lineage: Eukaryota; Fungi; Ascomycota; Sordariomycetes; Microascales; Microascaceae.
GCGGAGGAAAAGAAACCAACAGGGAUUGCCCCAGUAACGGCGAGUGAAGCGGCAACAGCUCAAAUUUGAAAUCUGGUCCCCCCCGCGGGGGCCCGAGUUGUAAUUUGAAGAGGAUGCUUCUGGCGAGGCGCCGUCCGAGUUCCCUGGAACGGGACGCCGCAGAGGGUGAGAGCCCCGUACGGUCGGACGCCGAGCCUCUGUGAAGCUCCUUCGACGAGUCGAGUAGUUUGGGAAUGCUGCUCAAAAUGGGAGGUAAACCCCUUCUAAAGCUAAAUACCGGCCAGAGACCGAUAGCGCACAAGUAGAGUGAUCGAAAGAUGAAAAGCACUUUGAAAAGAGAGUUAAAAAGCACGUGAAAUUGUUGAAAGGGAAGCGCUUGCGACCAGACUCGCGCCCGUCGGAUCAGCCGUCGCUCGUCGG